UACGAAGGGUGCUAGCGUUGUUCGGAAUUACUGGGCGUAAAGCGUACGUAGGCGGCUUGGUAAGUCGGUUGUGAAAGCCCCGGGCUCAACCCGGGAAUUGCGACCGAAACUACUUCGCUCGAGUUUGGUGGGGGAUGGUAGAAUUCCUAGUGUAGGGGUGAAAUCCGUAGAUAUUAGGAGGAAUACCGGUGGCGAAAGCGACCAUCUACGCCAACACUGACGCUAAGGUACGAAAGCGUGGGGAGCAAACAGG
This 253-nucleotide ribosomal RNA is filed under the name uncultured bacterium. RNAcentral's name for it is "partial 16S ribosomal RNA". It matches the Rfam family "Bacterial small subunit ribosomal RNA", at positions 524 to 776 of the family's 1533-position model. The record is from RNAcentral.